UUCGCUUCUCGGCCUUUCGGCUAAGACCAAGUGUAGUAUCUGUUCUUAUCAGUUUAACCCUAUUGCAAAAUGCCAUGCACAUCCUGUUGCCAGUCUGAUUCCUUCCCUGAUAAACUCAUCCCCUGCUAUUGAUGUGAGAAGCCAUC
Anolis carolinensis (green anole) is the source of this 146-nucleotide small nuclear RNA. Its record names the gene U2. It matches the Rfam family "U2 spliceosomal RNA". From Rfam's summary of the family: U2 is a small nuclear RNA (snRNA) component of the spliceosome (involved in pre-mRNA splicing). NCBI's taxonomy places the organism in Eukaryota, Metazoa, Chordata, Lepidosauria, Squamata, Anolidae. The record is from Ensembl.